AUACGGAGGAUCCGAGCGUUAUCCGGAUUUAUUGGGUUUAAAGGGUGCGUAGGUGGUUUGAUAAGUCAGCGGUGAAAGUUUGCAGCUUAACUGUAAAAAUGCCGUUGAAACUGUCGGACUUGGGUGUAAAUGAGGUAGGCGGAAUGCGUGGUGUAGCGGUGAAAUGCAUAGAUAUCACGCAGAACUCCGAUUGCGAAGGCAGCUUACUAAGCUACAACUGACACUGAAGCACGAAAGCGUGGGGAUCAAACAGGAUUAGAUACCCUGGUAGUCCACGCAGUAAACGAUGAUUACUAGCUGUUUGCGAUACACAGUAAGCGGCACAGCGAAAGCGUUAAGUAAUCCACCUGGGGAGUACGCCGGCAACGGUGAAACUCAAAGGAAUUGACGGGG
This 393-nucleotide ribosomal RNA is filed under the name uncultured bacterium. RNAcentral describes it as "partial 16S ribosomal RNA". It matches the Rfam family "Bacterial small subunit ribosomal RNA", at positions 523 to 918 of the family's 1533-position model. The record is from RNAcentral.